GACGAACGCUUGCGGCGUGCUUAACACAUGCAAGUCGAACGGAAAGGCCCUGCUUUUGUGGGGUGCUCGAGUGGCGAACGGGUGAGUAACACGUGAGUAACCUGCCCUUGACUUUGGGAUAACUUCAGGAAACUGGGGCUAAUACCGGAUAGGAGCUCCUGCUGCAUGGUGGGGGUUGGAAAGUUUCGGCGGUUGGGGAUGGACUCGCGGCUUAUCAGCUUGUUGGUGGGGUAGUGGCUUACCAAGGCUUUGACGGGUAGCCGGCCUGAGAGGGUGACCGGCCACAUUGGGACUGAGAUACGGCCCAGACUCCUACGGGAGGCAGCAGUGGGGAAUAUUGCACAAUGGGCGGAAGCCUGAUGCAGCAACGCCGCGUGCGGGAUGACGGCCUUCGGGUUGUAAACCGCUUUCGCCUGUGACGAAGCGUGAGUGACGGUAAUGGGUAAAGAAGCACCGGCUAACUACGUGCCAGCAGCCGCGGUGAUACGUAGGGUGCGAGCGUUGUCCGGAUUUAUUGGGCGUAAAGGGCUCGUAGGUGGUUGAUCGCGUCGGAAGUGUAAUCUUGGGGCUUAACCCUGAGCGUGCUUUCGAUACGGGUUGACUUGAGGAAGGUAGGGGAGAAUGGAAUUCCUGGUGGAGCGGUGGAAUGCGCAGAUAUCAGGAGGAACACCAGUGGCGAAGGCGGUUCUCUGGGCCUUUCCUGACGCUGAGGAGCGAAAGCGUGGGGAGCGAACAGGCUUAGAUACCCUGGUAGUCCACGCUGUAAACGGUGGGUACUAGGUGUGGGGUCCAUUCCACGGGUUCCGUGCCGUAGCUAACGCUUUAAGUACCCCGCCUGGGGAGUACGGCCGCAAGGCUAAAACUCAAAGGAAUUGACGGGGCCCCGCACAAGCGGCGGAGCAUGCGGAUUAAUUCGAUGCAACGCGUAGAACCUUACCUGGGUUUGACAUGGAUCGGGAGUGCUCAGAGAUGGGUGUGCCUCUUUUGGGGUCGGUUCACAGGUGGUGCAUGGCUGUCGUCAGCUCGUGUCGUGAGAUGUUGGGUUAAGUCCCGCAACGAGCGCAACCCUUGUUCACUGUUGCCAGCACGUUAUGGUGGGGACUCAGUGGAGACCGCCGGGGUCAACUCGGAGGAAGGUGGGGAUGACGUCAAGUCAUCAUGCCCCUUAUGUCCAGGGCUUCACGCAUGCUACAAUGGCUGGUACAGAGAGUGGCGAGCCUGUGAGGGUGAGCGAAUCUCGGAAAGCCGGUCUCAGUUCGGAUUGGGGUCUGCAACUCGACCUCAUGAAGUCGGAGUCGCUAGUAAUCGCAGAUCAGCAACGCUGCGGUGAAUACGUUCCCGGGGCAU
RNAcentral lists this ribosomal RNA (1347 nucleotides) under uncultured bacterium. RNAcentral's name for it is "partial 16S ribosomal RNA". It matches the Rfam family "Bacterial small subunit ribosomal RNA", at positions 28 to 1382 of the family's 1533-position model. The record is from RNAcentral.